RNAcentral lists this ribosomal RNA (460 nucleotides) under uncultured bacterium. RNAcentral describes it as "partial 16S ribosomal RNA". It matches the Rfam family "Bacterial small subunit ribosomal RNA", at positions 338 to 795 of the family's 1533-position model. The record is from RNAcentral.
CCUACGGGAGGCAGCAGUGAGGAAUAUUGGUCAAUGGGCGCGAGCCUGAACCAGCCAAGUAGCGUGAAGGAUGACUGCCCUACGGGUUGUAAACUUCUUUUAUAAAGGAAUAAAGUGAGGCACGUGUGCCUUUUUGUAUGUACUUUAUGAAUAAGGAUCGGCUAACUCCGUGCCAGCAGCCGCGGUAAUACGGAGGAUCCGAGCGUUAUCCGGAUUUAUUGGGUUUAAAGGGAGCGUAGAUGGGUUGUUAAGUCAGUUGUGAAAGUUUGCGGCUCAACCGUAAAAUUGCAAUUGAUACUGGCGGUCUUGAGUACGGUUGAGGUAGGCGGAAUUCGUGGUGUAGCGGUGAAAUGCUUAGAUAUCACGAAGAACUCCGAUUGCGAAGGCAGCUUACUAGACUGCCACUGACAUUGAUGCUCGAAAGUGUGGGUAUCAAACAGGAUUAGAUACCCUUGUAGUC